AACGAACGCUGGCGGCACGUUUUAAGCAUGCAAGUCGAAUGGCAGUGGGGGCAACCCCAUGAGAAUGGCGAACGGGUGAGUAACACGUAGGUGAUCUGCCUGACGGAUGGGGAUAGCUUGUGGAAACACAGGGUAAUACCGAAUGAGCUGACGAGACUUUGGCUUUGUUAGUAAAGGUGCUACGGCACCGCCGACAGAGGAGCCUGCGGCUGAUUAGCUAGUUGGUGGGGUAAAGGCCUACCAAGGCGACGAUCAGUAGCCGGCCUGAGAGGGUGUACGGCCAAACUGGAACUGAGACACGGUCCAGACUCCUACGGGAGGCAGCAGCUAAGAAUCUUCCGCAAUGGGCGAAAGCCUGACGGAGCGAUGCCGCGUGAUCGAUGAAGGUCGAGAGAUUGUAAAGAUCUUUUCUACAUGAGGAAUAAGUCUGGGAGGGAAUGCCUGGAUGAUGACGUUAGUGUUGGAAUAAGCCCCGGCUAAUUACGUGCCAGCCGCCGCGGUAA
RNAcentral lists this ribosomal RNA (503 nucleotides) under uncultured bacterium. Its description in RNAcentral is "partial 16S ribosomal RNA". It matches the Rfam family "Bacterial small subunit ribosomal RNA", at positions 29 to 523 of the family's 1533-position model. The record is from RNAcentral.